RNAcentral lists this long non-coding RNA (292 nucleotides) under Eucalyptus grandis. Its description in RNAcentral is "long non-coding RNA (EGRA_LNC002330)". Lineage: Eukaryota; Viridiplantae; Streptophyta; Magnoliopsida; Myrtales; Myrtaceae. The record is from RNAcentral.
CGAGAUGGAAAGUUCUUGAUCAGAGGAUGCCUUGGGCCAUGAGCGCUGGGGGAGAAGAUCUUUCCUGAUCACUUGGGGCGAGAAUGAUAACCAUUCUGGCCAGAAAGAGGAGUAUCCUUUGAGAUCACUGCCGGCCAUGGCGCAAAAUAGAGUAGUGCAUGGAUUUGUCAGACUCUCGCCUUCUCGAAUGUUAUUGUUGCGAUCACUGCCACCAUGAUCAUCAACUUACUCAUUUUCUCUUCCAUUUCACUCCUAGAAAUGAACAUUGGCAGUUGCCGCGAGAGAGAGAGAG